Molecule: non-coding RNA, 375 nt
Organism: Megalobrama amblycephala (Wuchang bream)
Lineage: Eukaryota; Metazoa; Chordata; Actinopteri; Cypriniformes; Xenocyprididae
Source: the annotation of a RefSeq genome assembly
AUGAACACGUUCCUUAGUGUAUCUGUAUCUUUAAUGAUGUUUACAGCUGCCUGUCUUGGUAAAACUGUUCACCAGACGCCUGAUGAUCACUUGAAGAAUCAAGAUGAAUCUGCUGUGAUCUCAUGCUCUCACAAUAUACAGAGCUACAACCAAAUUCUGUGGUACAAACAAAGUCAGGACAUGUCAGGCUUAAAGUUGAUGGGAUACCUUCAAUAUAAAGUUCCAAAUAAAGAGCCUGAAUUCACAAACAAGAUCGAAUUGGAUGGAGAUGCACAGAAAAAUGGCACUCUGACUAUCCAGAACCUCAUGCUGAAUGACAGUGCAGUGUAUUUCUGUGCAGCAUAUUACACAGUGCUCAGAAUCACAUCUGUCUAA